RNAcentral lists this ribosomal RNA (466 nucleotides) under Vreelandella stevensii. RNAcentral's name for it is "partial 16S ribosomal RNA". It matches the Rfam family "Bacterial small subunit ribosomal RNA", at positions 338 to 795 of the family's 1533-position model. Lineage: Bacteria; Pseudomonadati; Pseudomonadota; Gammaproteobacteria; Oceanospirillales; Halomonadaceae. The record is from RNAcentral.
CCUACGGGGGGCUGCAGUGGGGAAUAUUGGACAAUGGGGGGAACCCUGAUCCAGCCAUGCCGCGUGUGUGAAGAAGGCCCUCGGGUUGUAAAGCACUUUCAGUGAGGAAGAACGCCUGGUGGUUAAUACCCAUCAGGAAAGACAUCACUCACAGAAGAAGCACCGGCUAACUCCGUGGCCAGCAGCCGCGGUAAUACGGAGGGUGCGAGCGUUAAUCGGAAUUACUGGGCGUAAAGCGCGCGUAGGUGGCUUGAUAAGCCGGUUGUGAAAGCCCCGGGCUCAACCUGGGAACGGCAUCCGGAACUGUCAAGCUAGAGUGCAGGAGAGGAAGGUAGAAUUCCCGGUGUAGCGGUGAAAUGCGUAGAGAUCGGGAGGAAUACCAGUGGCGAAGGCGGCCUUCUGGACUGACACUGACACUGAGGUGCGAAAGCGUGGGUAGCAAACAGGAUUAGAUACCCUGGUAGUC